UCUCAGCUCCUCAACUGCCACUCACUUCUUUUGAUCCUCAUCUCAGCAUUCCAGAUCUCCCUGCUCCCAUCCUUACAUCAUGGAUCAAAGAUGUUCUUGGGCUUUCAGAGGCUAUGACCAACCCACAUUCUAGGAGGCACUUCUGUAGAGGCAAAAGCUUUCUGCACUGGUCCAACAAUAGACUUUAUAUGCAUGUCAAUUGUUCAAGAAGUAUUCUGGAGUACUACCAGCUAACUCAAAUUUGA
RNAcentral lists this long non-coding RNA (245 nucleotides) under Monodelphis domestica (gray short-tailed opossum). Its description in RNAcentral is "lncRNA (ENSMODG00000032565.2)". The record is from RNAcentral. Lineage: Eukaryota; Metazoa; Chordata; Mammalia; Didelphimorphia; Didelphidae.